CAUUUGGGUUUUAGCGCAUGAAGACUUGUAAUGUGUGAGAGGAUUAGAGUCCUUCUCAUGGAAGGAUCUAAUCCUAAUUUUUGACACCAACUAACCUCUUUUCUUUAUCUUAUUGCAUGCCAUUUUUUGAAAGAUUUUAAUGGGAUUAAAAUACCUAAAUGGCAUGGAGAUAAAGUGGAUAAGGUUUGGUGCAUGGUUCUUGGCACACGGCAUUU
This 215-nucleotide long non-coding RNA is filed under the name Elaeis guineensis (African oil palm). RNAcentral's name for it is "long non-coding RNA (EGUI_LNC037494)". Lineage: Eukaryota; Viridiplantae; Streptophyta; Magnoliopsida; Arecales; Arecaceae. The record is from RNAcentral.